RNAcentral lists this ribosomal RNA (408 nucleotides) under uncultured bacterium. Its description in RNAcentral is "bacterial SSU rRNA". It matches the Rfam family "Bacterial small subunit ribosomal RNA", at positions 976 to 1381 of the family's 1533-position model. The record is from RNAcentral.
UAGCCUUGACAUUGAUUGAACACACUAGAGAUAGAGUGGUGCCCUUCGGGGAACAUGAAAACAGGUGCUGCACGGCUGUCGUCAGCUCGUGUCGUGAGAUGUUGGGUUAAGUCCCGCAACGAGCGCAACCCUCGUCCUUAGUUGCUAGCAGUUCGGCUGAGCACUCUAAGGAGACUGCCUUCGUAAGGAGGAGGAAGGUGAGGACGACGUCAAGUCAUCAUGGCCCUUAUGGCUAGGGCUACACACGUGCUACAAUGGGGCGUACAGAGUGUUGCGAUACCGCGAGGUGGAGCUAAUCACUUAAAGCGUCUCUCAGUUCGGAUUGGAGUCUGCAACUCGACUCCAUGAAGCUGGAAUCACUAGUAAUCGUAGAUCAGCAAUGCUACGGUGAAUACGUUCCGCGGGUCU